Long non-coding RNA from Quercus robur (English oak), 431 nucleotides. RefSeq lists it as uncharacterized. The transcript has 2 exons. NCBI's taxonomy places the organism in Eukaryota, Viridiplantae, Streptophyta, Magnoliopsida, Fagales, Fagaceae. The record is from RefSeq and is a predicted model, not a curated record.
AAUGCAGCAGCGAAAAAAAAAAAAAAAGGCAGUUGGCUCGGCAGUCCUCAGUCCUCAGAGUUUUCAAAUCAAAUGCGAUCGGAUGAGUUAGAUCGGAGGAAGCUUGAGCCAGGCAGCCAGCAAUAGUGGAGAGAAAGAAUGAGAGAGGCGGAGAGCAAGAGUUGAGAGAAAAAAGCAGAGCAAGAAUGAGAAACAGAAACGGUGAUUGACAUGCUAUGUGGUAUUGGGUGCCUAAAUAUAGAGGAUGAACUCAGAACUUUUUCUUUUUUUUAAUGAGGAGAAGGGGUGUCACCAUAAAGCCAACGUUCAACUCCUUUCACAUUGUGGGAUGUCCCACAUUGAUGCCUUGUAUGGUCAACUUUGUUGGAACCUUACUACUGUAGCUUUGUUUUCGUUAUAUUAAGUUUAUAUAUUUUUCCACAUCUGACAUA